Molecule: ribosomal RNA, 429 nt
Filed under: uncultured delta proteobacterium
Lineage: Bacteria; Deltaproteobacteria
Also listed under: 1 other name
Description: bacterial SSU rRNA
Rfam family: Bacterial small subunit ribosomal RNA
Source: RNAcentral
AACGCGAAGAACCUUACCUGGGCUUGACAUGCUGGUGAAAGCUGGUGGAAACACCGGCCCCUCUUCGGAGCGCCAGCACAGGUGCUGCAUGGCUGUCGUCAGCUCGUGUCGUGAGAUGUUGGGUUAAGUCCCGCAACGAGCGCAACCCUCGCUCCCAGUUGCCAGCGGUUCGGCCGGGGACUCUGGGGGGACUGCCGGCGUUAAGCCGGAGGAAGGUGGGGACGACGUCAAGUCAUCACGGCCCUUACGUCCAGGGCGACACACGUGCUACAAUGCCCGGUACAGCGCGUCGCGAACUCGCGAGAGGGAGCCAAUCGCUAAAAGCCGGGCUAAGUUCGGAUUGCAGUCUGCAACUCGACUGCAUGAAGCCGGAAUCGCUAGUAAUCGCGGAUCAGCCACGCCGCGGUGAAUACGUUCCCGGGCCUUGUA